CCUACGGGGGGCAGCAGUGAGGAAUAUUGGUCAAUGGUCGGGAGACUGAACCAGCCAAGCCGCGUGAGGGAUGAAGGUACAGAGUAUCGUAAACCUCUUUUGUCAGGGAACAAAGGCGGGGACGCGUCCCCGGAUGAGUGUACCUGAAGAAAAAGCAUCGGCUAACUCCGUGCCAGCAGCCGCGGUAAUACGGAGGAUGCGAGCGUUAUCCGGAUUUAUUGGGUUAAAAGGGUGCGCAGGCGGUCUGUUAAGUCAGCGGUGAAAGCACGGGGCUCACCCCCGGCCUGCCGUUGAAACUGGCAGUCUCGAGUUGGAGAGAAGUAUGCGGAAUGCGCGGUGUAGCGGUGAAAUGCAUAGAUAUCGCGCAGAACUCCGAUUGCGAAGGCAGCAUGCCGGCUCCACACUGACGCUGAGGCACGAAAGCGUGGGUAUCGAACAGGAUUAGAUACCCCAGUAGUC
Molecule: ribosomal RNA, 459 nt
Filed under: uncultured bacterium
Lineage: Bacteria
Description: partial 16S ribosomal RNA
Rfam family: Bacterial small subunit ribosomal RNA
Source: RNAcentral